GGGUGACCCCGGCCCUAUUUGUGACCCCACCCCCACCCCCCAGGUCCUCCUGGAUGCGGAGGCGCUGCUGAGCCACGCUGAGGGCACCCUGCUGCAGCUGCAGGGGGCAAAGGAGCUGCCACCCCACAUCCGAGAGCUGUUGGCUUUGGGGCCUCCGUCUGCCCCAUAGAUGUGGGGUCAAGACCUCCUGCCCCAUAGAUACGGGGUGAGGAGUCUCCCAGCCCCAUAAAUAUGGGGUCGAGACCCCGUGCCCCACAAAUGUGGAGUGAAGAUCCCCAGCCCCAUAGAUAUGGGGUGAGACCUUCCCUGCCCCAUAGAUGUGGGGUGAAGACCCCCCUGCCCCAUAGACAUGGGGUCAAGACUUCCUCUGCCCCACAGAUGUGGGGUGAGGACCCACCCAGCCCCAUAGAUGUGGGGUGAAGACUCAUUUCUGCCCCACAGAUGUGGGGUUUGGGGUUGACCCGGAAAGGGGUGAAAAUAAAUGAGUGCCCCGAA
Non-coding RNA from Meleagris gallopavo (turkey), 495 nucleotides. The record is from RefSeq and is a predicted model, not a curated record. Lineage: Eukaryota; Metazoa; Chordata; Aves; Galliformes; Phasianidae.